CCUACGGGCGGCAGCAGUGGGGAAUAUUGCACAAUGGGGGAAACCCUGAUGCAGCGACGCCGCCUGAGUUCCUCCUUCCUUCUUUCUUUCCCUCUCUCUCCUCCUUUCCUCCCCUACCUGUACCUGAGUAAGAAGCCCCGGCUAACUACGUGCCAGCAGCCGCGGUAAUCCGUAGGUUGCCCUCGUUAUCCGUCUUUCCUUUUGGUAAAGUGAGCGUAGACGGCAGUGCAAGUCUGGAGUGAAAGGCGGGGGCUCAACCACCGGACUGCGCUGGAAAAUGUACGGCUGGAGUGCAGGAGAGGUAAGUGGAAUUCAUAGUGUAGAGGUGAAAGGAGUAGAGAUGAGGAGGAACACCAGUGGCGAAGGCGGCUUACUGGACUGUAACUGACGUUGAGGCUCGAAAGCGGGGGGAGAAAAAAGGAGGAGAGAAAAGGGGAGGC
Molecule: ribosomal RNA, 440 nt
Filed under: uncultured bacterium
Lineage: Bacteria
Description: partial 16S ribosomal RNA
Rfam family: Bacterial small subunit ribosomal RNA
Source: RNAcentral